Molecule: long non-coding RNA, 998 nt
Organism: Centruroides sculpturatus (bark scorpion)
Lineage: Eukaryota; Metazoa; Arthropoda; Arachnida; Scorpiones; Buthidae
Exons: 3
Source: RefSeq, a predicted model, not a curated record
GACGAUCGUGCAAAUGUGUUUGCUGUCAUUUGAAUCACUCUUAAUUAUGACUUGUUAUAAUGCAAAUGAAAGCAUUUGAGUUCAUUUUUGGACAGAUUACCCAUCUGAUGAAGAAGAAUGGCAAUCGCUGCAGUCAAAUAAUCUUUCGGGUCCUGUAUACAGAAAACCUAUAAGAGAUAAUUACGGUUUUUAUGAGAAAGGAAUUGGAACCAAUCUACAAAAAACUGUAAAGGCCGCCAAGAACAUGAGGUGCAAUGACACCACAGCACAAGAGAGUCUCAUCUCCACGUCCAAACAACCUGACACCCAGAUAGAAUUCAGUCAAUGGGAUCUACAGAGGAGAAGAUCGUCAAUUAAAGAACAAGAAGUGCUGGCCGACACACCUUUAGUUAAUAGCGGAAUAACUAGAAUAAUUCCAAAACAUAAAAUGAAGAAUGAACAUUCAACACUGUCAACACCAGUAUGAAGAUAAUGAAGAAUAAGAUUUGUGGACAGAUUUGAAACAGAAUAACUAGGGAUUAACGAUGCGAAGUUUCUAACAGUGAACUAACAGUGCCUGCAAUGAUAAAUUUUCAUGCGGGGAUUACGCAAACUGCUCAAUUUUAUCACGGACCCAGUGAUAUCGUGGUAUGUCGAGAACCAUAGAAAGAUUCACGACUGCAAAUUUGUCGCCUUUCUUCGUGUCAUGCCAUGAUAUAAUUUCAUUUUUAAUCAUAAUAAUCAUCGAAUGAACUCGAUUAUGAUUUUUUAUUUAGUAACUAUAAAGUAUAGACAUCACAAUAUAUAUGUGUGACAGAAGGACCGAGAAUGAAUAUUGUAACUAGAAAAAUCUGACUAUGUAUUAUAUUCUACAUGGACAAUGCGAAUUUUCUCCACUUCAUGUCAUUGUUCUUAUUGAUCAAUAAAAUAGCAAUAAAAAUCAUAUAAAGUGUCAUUUGUAUUUACAACUUUAACCACACCAGCUGUAAAAUCAGCUCCAUUAGAGCCUUUAAAUGAAU